UGCGUUGCUCAGUUGUGGAACGACGGACGUCGAGGUGAUACGGGUGGAAUUUCGUAUUCUACCUAGACGUCCGAUGAUGAAACUAUUAUAGUUAUAUGCAAUCCAAUGAGUCAAAUAUGAGUAAGCGGAAGAAAAGGAAAAAGCAGCAUACAAAAUUCUUUAAUAAAAAACUCUCAAAGCAUCGUUACGUAUAUUUAAUUACAGAUAUAUGCGAAACCUAAAUUUAUUUAGAUUCAUUAUGUAAAAACGGGAUAUCAGCAAAAUAUCAUAUGUCGAGUGGAAUAACCUAUUGUAAAAAGUGAACUACAAAGCAAAUUAUGUAACUAUCAAAUAACCGAGUUCUCUGAAAGCGCUCAAGACAAUUAGUGGAAUGCUACAGUUGUCAUCAAACGGGUGUUGGGGUCGUCUGUUCAGCAGACUUCAGAGGGCUGUAGUGGCAAGACAGGGCACCGGUGAAGUAAAAGUGUUGCCAUAAUAUUACAGACUCUAAAGCAUUUCGGAAAUAUAGGCUUUUAAGAAUAUAUUGAAUCUUCGUGUAAACAUU
Long non-coding RNA from Pieris napi, 544 nucleotides. RefSeq lists it as uncharacterized. The record is from RefSeq and is a predicted model, not a curated record. NCBI's taxonomy places the organism in Eukaryota, Metazoa, Arthropoda, Insecta, Lepidoptera, Pieridae. The transcript has 2 exons.